AUUGAACGCUGGCGGCAUGCUUUACACAUGCAAGUCGAACGGUAACAGGCCGCAAGGUGCUGACGAGUGGCGCACGGGUGAGUAAUGCAUCGGAACGUGCCCAGUCGUGGGGGAUAACUACUCGAAAGAGUAGCUAAUACCGCAUACGAUCUAUGGAUGAGAGCGGGGGACCGUAAGGCCUCGCGCGAUUGGAGCGGCCGAUGUCAGAUUAGGUAGUUGGUGGGGUAAAGGCUCACCAAGCCAACGAUCUGUAGCUGGUCUGAGAGGACGACCAGCCACACUGGGACUGAGACACGGCCCAGACUCCUACGGGAGGCAGCAGUGGGGAAUUUUGGACAAUGGGCGCAAGCCUGAUCCAGCAAUGCCGCGUGCAGGAAGAAGGCCUUCGGGUUGUAAACUGCUUUUGUACGGAACGAAACGGCUCUGGUUAAUACCCGGGGCUAAUGACGGUACCGUAAGAAUAAGCACCGGCUAACUACGUG
Molecule: ribosomal RNA, 482 nt
Filed under: uncultured bacterium
Lineage: Bacteria
Description: partial 16S ribosomal RNA
Rfam family: Bacterial small subunit ribosomal RNA
Source: RNAcentral